GACGAACGCUGGCGGCGUGCUUAACACAUGCAAGUCGAACGGAAAGGCCCUGCUUUUGUGGGGUGCUCGAGUGGCGAACGGGUGAGUAACACGUGAGUAACCUGCCCUUGACUUUGGGAUAACUUCAGGAAACUGGGGCUAAUACCGGAUAGGAGCUCCUGCUGCAUGGUGGGGGUUGGAAAGUUUCGGCGGUUGGGGCUGGACUCGCGGCUUAUCAGCUUGUUGGUGGGGUAGUGGCUUACCAAGGCUUUGACGGGUAGCCGGCCUGAGAGGGUGACCGGCCACAUUGGGCCUGAGAUACGGCCCAGACUCCUACGGGAGGCAGCAGUGGGGAAUAUUGCACAAUGGGCGGAAGCCUGAUGCAGCAACGCCGCGUGCGGGAUGACGGCCUUCGGGUUGUAAACCGCUUUCGCCUGUGACGAAGCGUGAGUGACGGUAAUGGGUAAAGAAGCACCGGCUAACUACGUG
This 468-nucleotide ribosomal RNA is filed under the name uncultured bacterium. Its description in RNAcentral is "partial 16S ribosomal RNA". It matches the Rfam family "Bacterial small subunit ribosomal RNA", at positions 28 to 507 of the family's 1533-position model. The record is from RNAcentral.